CCCAAUAAACAUGGAACGUUGGCCCAACGUUAACCCAACGGUUUUUAAACUACGUGGCCAGCGUUUGCUCGUCGCACGUUAACCAGGUAGUCGCCACCGCGCCACGGCACGGCGACCCUGGUAAACACGCCAACGUUGUCCCAACGUCGCUGAGAAGCCCCCGCCGCACGGCACGGCCCGCGUGCCGCCGUCUGCUGCUCGUGAAGCAAGAGCGGGCCGAUGCUCGCGCGGGAUCCGUGCCACGGGAAUCCUCGUGGGAUUCACGGGACCGAGGACGCAAGGCGUUAAAAGAGCGAGGUCCCCCACUCCGUCUCGUCUCUGUCUGGUCUGCGGGGUGGGUGGCGCUCGGGGAAUGGAUUGCUGCAGGUUGUCAGGCGCGGUGCCGUAGGCUGAGGAGUCUUCUACGCACGCGUCCAGAGUGUCACGACGCUGUCACGGCGUCACCCGCUGCUCUGGGAGGUCCCGUGGGGGCGACGGCGCGAAACGUUGGACUAAGAGGGGUCGGCCGGCCUAGGCUACCAAACCGGGGUGGAAAGAGAGAACGGCCACCGAAUUCGCUGUCGACGACCCCCUCCCCCAAACCACCUCACCACCGGGCGCAGAUGACCAGUGGCGGGGUCAGCUGACAUCCGGUGACGUUUCGUUUGAAAUCCGAAACUCAUCCCUGCUGUACAGAUCACUCUCACAGAAGAAGGCGAAGCCUCUCGACGCCGGACCAAUUUAGGGGAGGGCAUCGCCGGUUGUAGGGGGUGUCGUGUAUUCUGUAAAUAAUAACAAGAGUACAUUUACAAAUUACAUUUGCGUGUAAUUACUGGAUGAACCAUUUAAAUAAAACUUAAUAUCUCA
Petromyzon marinus (sea lamprey) is the source of this 846-nucleotide non-coding RNA. The record is from RefSeq and is a predicted model, not a curated record. NCBI's taxonomy places the organism in Eukaryota, Metazoa, Chordata, Hyperoartia, Petromyzontiformes, Petromyzontidae.